Molecule: long non-coding RNA, 432 nt
Filed under: Elaeis guineensis (African oil palm)
Lineage: Eukaryota; Viridiplantae; Streptophyta; Magnoliopsida; Arecales; Arecaceae
Description: long non-coding RNA (EGUI_LNC020646)
Source: RNAcentral
CAUGUCUCCCGUCUUCGUGAAACCCAUUUCUUGUCAUCUACUAAUGCUAAGAGGCUCUCUUUUCAUGCAUAUAAGAAGCUCUCCUGCCACAUAAUGCAAGGGCAUCGGUUAAGUCAUAGGUUACAUGAGGGUAAUUGAAUAUUUAGGUGCCAAGCCAGCUUUAAGGGGCCAGAAAAAUAUUUCCUGUGCACAAAAUGGCCCAUAGUAUUCCCUCGAAAUCAAAAGAUGGCUAAUAGAAGUCUAGCACAAACAGAGACAGUAAUUAGUGGCUUCUGGACUGCAAAAACUAGUACUUGGAAUACGUUACAUCAUCAAGAAAUUGCUACCAUAUAUGCAUGGUACAUUAAGAGAAUUUCAAACAAAACUAAUGUCAAAUGAUUGCAUUAACCCGUUAAAUGCUUCAAGGCAUAUGAAAUACGUCAUAUCUUGUGC